CCCUUAGAUGUUCGGGGCCGCACGCGCGCUACACUGAAUGAAUCAGCGAGUGUAUGUCCUAGGCCGAAAGGUCCGGGUAACCCGUUGAACCUCAUUCGUGAUUGGGAUAGGGACUUGCAAUUGUUUCCCUUGAACGAGGAAUUCCCAGUAAGCGCAAGUCAUCAGCUUGCGUUGAUUACGUCCCUGCCCUUUGUACACACCGCCCGUCGCACCUACCGAUUGGAUGGUCCGGUGAAGCCUCGGGAUUGUGGUUCUUGCCGCUUUAUUGUGGCGUGACCGCGAGAACUUGUCUAAACCUUAUCAUCUAGAGGAAGGUGAAGUCGUAACA
Molecule: ribosomal RNA, 328 nt
Filed under: uncultured eukaryote
Lineage: Eukaryota
Description: partial 18S ribosomal RNA
Rfam family: Eukaryotic small subunit ribosomal RNA
Source: RNAcentral